AAAUAGCUCAAAACCCCAGGAAUGAUAUAUAACCAACUCCAAGUAAUAAAUGUCAAAUAACCCACGACCCAGCCAAACUUUAAACCAAGUUUUUAUGACUAAGCUCAAUCCAUUUCCUUUCAAGUUGUUCGAAGGAAUUUCAGAGGUUGAAAAGAAUUGAAAAGAAAUUGAAAAUCACUUGAAAUCCAAUGAAAUAGUAGCAGUUUUUGUUUUGUGUUUUUUCUGAAAUUUUCUCUAAUCC
RNAcentral lists this long non-coding RNA (241 nucleotides) under Nicotiana benthamiana. RNAcentral describes it as "long non-coding RNA (NBEN_LNC035790)". Lineage: Eukaryota; Viridiplantae; Streptophyta; Magnoliopsida; Solanales; Solanaceae. The record is from RNAcentral.